Long non-coding RNA from Corapipo altera (White-ruffed manakin), 149 nucleotides. RefSeq lists it as uncharacterized. NCBI's taxonomy places the organism in Eukaryota, Metazoa, Chordata, Aves, Passeriformes, Pipridae. The transcript is spliced from 2 exons. The record is from RefSeq and is a predicted model, not a curated record.
CCAGAACAGCGCCCGGUACCUGCAGCAGGAGCUUCCCGUGCGGAUCGCCCACAGGAUCCAGGGAUUCCGGAACCUUCCCUUCAUCAUCGGCUGCAACCCCACCAUCCUGCACGUGCACGAGCUCUACAUCCGGGCCUUCCAGAAACUCA